Molecule: transfer RNA, 74 nt
Organism: Rozella allomycis CSF55
Lineage: Eukaryota; Fungi; Rozellomycota
Rfam family: tRNA
About the family: Transfer RNA (tRNA) molecules are approximately 80 nucleotides in length. Their secondary structure includes four short double-helical elements and three loops (D, anti-codon, and T loops).
Source: Rfam
GCUCUAUUGGCGCAAUUGGUUAGCGCGUUCGGCUGUUAACCGAAAGGUUGGUGGUUCGAGUCCACCAUGGAGCG